This 1325-nucleotide long non-coding RNA is filed under the name Triticum aestivum (bread wheat). RNAcentral describes it as "long non-coding RNA (TAES_LNC016602)". The record is from RNAcentral. Lineage: Eukaryota; Viridiplantae; Streptophyta; Magnoliopsida; Poales; Poaceae.
UCAUCACAUACAUUUCAACCAUCAUCACAUACAUUUCAACCAUCAUCACAUACAUUUCAGAUAACAUGGUUUGUCAGCAAAUACAUUCCAAGGGAGUAGAUCCAUCAACAAAUUUACAACAUUGACAGUGAUAAUACUUGAUGACAUUGUUCUAUGAUGCAUAAAAAUAUAAUUACAAUUAUAGAUCCAUCAACGAACUCAACAAUCGGGCAAUAUAACUACUCGAAAAAGCACUCCGUGGAAUUUCAUUGAUAAAAAUGCACUAAUUAAUCACCCAAAAUUUUAGAAGGUGGAAAUUGUGAUUCACAGUCCAGGAAAACCUACUAAUUUCCCGGAUUUGUCCCCAUUGAAAAAAAGAACAGAUUUGAAAACAGAUCUGAUCUCAUACAAAAAAAAUCAGGAAACUUUCCAGAGAGAAAAAACGAGGAAAGAAAAUGGCUUGGAGAAGAGCUCGCUGGAACAAUCUGAUAUCGUACAAAAAAAGUUCCAGGAAACCUGGACAGAAAAAUCGAGGAAAGAAACUUUCUCAGAGAAAAAACGAGAAAAGAAAAUUCCAGGAAACUUGAUUGAUUACUUAACUAAUAAUUAAAGGUAACUUCAGCGGUGGGCGAUAGCGCGUCAUUAGUUCUUGAGGUAGAGAUGGAGAACCCCUGCUAGGUGGAGGAUGCCGAUUACGAGGAUCCAUCUGAGGGCGCCCAGGCUGUAGCUGGUUUGACUUGGUGCGUGGAUGAACAACAGGAACAAGUAGUUUUGUUAUAGGAAAGAACUGGAUGCAAACCUCAAGCGGUGGAUUCAAGGAGGUGCUUCGAUUGAAUAGAAUGGGUAAAGGGCUGGACUCACAUGGUGAUGCUCGCACUUGUAGAAAUGUUUGUCGGGGUUCUUCUCGGUCUGGGAGACCCACCAGUGCACUGCACGUCGCCAUUGUUGCACCACGGGCAGCGGAUGAGAGGAAGAGGAGCCUGCUCCUGGAAGUAGGGUGCGAGUGACUGGAAGGAGGAGGAGGCACACAUGUCGCCGGAUCUAGUAGAUCGCCUGGUUUAGAUCGGGAACGAGCAGAAAAAUGGGGAACGGAAUGACCUUUGAGGAAGAGGAACAGUGCGAGGUAGGAGGAAAUAUCAAAGACUACGGCGUGGUAAAUGAGAGAGCAGGUGGGGCUUGGUGGACCAGCGUCUCCCCUCCUGAUAGGUCUAGCUUGUACUCCCUCCGUUUUAAAAUAAAUGACUCAACUUUGUACUAAUACGAGCAGUUUUGUUCCAGGUAUUUUAGGGAUAUAGAGCUAAAUACAGCGCAUUUAAACCAAGUGAUCCGAAUCUAUAUGCAAGGGA